GUGAAAGCUGCUUCAGUGGAGAUUUUAUGUGUGGUCUCAUUGUGAUUAACCAGAAGGGUUCUUGAUGAUGUCCACCUGUAUGUCACUCCAGCCGUUCUCAAGAUUGUUGUUACAGGGCUUAGUGAUUUCCGCCAGAGCACAGUGGGUCGUGAGAGGUCUUGGAAAAUGUGAAUGCAGCUCCGUCAAAAGAAUAGGGUGUAUUGUUUUGCAGUGAU
Molecule: non-coding RNA, 215 nt
Organism: Pelobates cultripes (western spadefoot toad)
Lineage: Eukaryota; Metazoa; Chordata; Amphibia; Anura; Pelobatidae
Source: the annotation of a GenBank genome assembly